GGGUGUAUAGCUCAGUUGGUAGAGCAGCUGACUCUUAAUCAGCCGGUCCACGGUUCGAACCCGUGUGCACCCACCA
Molecule: transfer RNA, 76 nt
Filed under: Pseudovibrio sp. Tun.PSC04-5.I4
Lineage: Bacteria; Pseudomonadati; Pseudomonadota; Alphaproteobacteria; Hyphomicrobiales; Stappiaceae
Description: tRNA_Lys_CTT
Rfam family: tRNA
About the family: Transfer RNA (tRNA) molecules are approximately 80 nucleotides in length. Their secondary structure includes four short double-helical elements and three loops (D, anti-codon, and T loops).
Source: RNAcentral